GAGCAAACUGACAGCUACCGAAAGGAGCAAAUAUCUAAGGAAAUAGUAUGAUCUACUACUUGCCCAUAAAGAAGAUCUUGGACAGCUUAUAACCUUAGAGCAAGGAAAACCUCUGAAAGAAUCCCUGGGUGAGGUUAGCUAUGGGGCUGGUUUUAUUGAGUUCACGCGCAUGGAAUAAUGU
This is a long non-coding RNA of Quercus lobata, 181 nucleotides long. RefSeq lists it as uncharacterized. NCBI's taxonomy places the organism in Eukaryota, Viridiplantae, Streptophyta, Magnoliopsida, Fagales, Fagaceae. The record is from RefSeq and is a predicted model, not a curated record. The transcript is spliced from 3 exons.